CCUACGGGAGGCAGCAGUGGGGAAUAUUGCACAAUGGGCGCAAGCCUGACCCAGCAACGCCGCGUGAAGGAAGAAGGCUUUCGGGUUGUAAACUUCUUUUCUCAGGGACGAAGCAAGUGACGGUACCUGAGGAAUACGCCACGGCUAACUACGUGCCAGCAGCCGCGGUAAUACGUAGGUGGCAAGCGUUAUCCGGAUUUACUGGGUGCAAAGGUCGGGUAGGCGGGGAGGCAAGUCAGAUGUGAAAACCAUGGGCUCAAACUGUGGCCUGCAUUUGAAACUGUUUUUCUUGAGUACUGGAGAGGGGGACGGAAUUCCAGGUGUAGCGGUGAAAUGCGUAGAGAUUAGGAGGAACACCAGUGGCGAAGGCGGUCUGCUGGACAGCAACUGACGCUGAGGCGCGAAAGCGUGGGGAGCAAACAGGAUUAGAUACCCGGGUAGUC
Molecule: ribosomal RNA, 443 nt
Filed under: uncultured bacterium
Lineage: Bacteria
Description: partial 16S ribosomal RNA
Rfam family: Bacterial small subunit ribosomal RNA
Source: RNAcentral